AGUGAACGCUGGCGGUAGGCCUAACACAUGCAAGUCGAACGGCAGCACAGUAAGAGCUUGCUCUUACGGGUGGCGAGUGGCGGUCGGGUGAGGAAUACAUCGGAAUCUACUUUUUCGUGGGGGAUAACGUAGGGAAACUUACGCUAAUACCGCAUACGACCUACGGGUGAAAGCAGGGGAUCUUCGGACCUUGCGCGAUUGAAUGAGCCGAUGUCGGAUUAGCUAGUUGGCGGGGUAAAGGCCCACCAAGGCGACGAUCCGUAGCUGGUCUGAGAGGAUGAUCAGCCACACUGGAACUGAGACACGGUCCAGACUCCUACGGGAGGCAGCAGUGGGGAAUAUUGGACAAUGGGCGCAAGCCCGAUCCAGCCAUACCGCGUGGGUGAAGAAGGCCUUCGGGUUGUAAAGCCCUUUUGUUGGGAAAGAAAAGCAGCAGGUUAAUACCCCGCUGUUCUGACGGUACCCAAAGAAUAAGCACCGGCUAACUUCGUG
This 492-nucleotide ribosomal RNA is filed under the name uncultured bacterium. RNAcentral describes it as "partial 16S ribosomal RNA". It matches the Rfam family "Bacterial small subunit ribosomal RNA", at positions 29 to 507 of the family's 1533-position model. The record is from RNAcentral.